CAGUAGCCGCGGUAAUACAGAGGGUGCGAGCGUUAAUCGGAUUUACUGGGCGUAAAGCGUGCGUAGGCGGCUAAUUGAGUCGGAUGUGAAAUCCCCGAGCUUAACUUGGGAAUUGCAUUCGAUACUGGGAAGCUAGAGUAUGGGAGAGGAUGGUAGAAUUCCAGGUGUAGCGGUGAAAUGCGUAGAGAUCUGGAGGAAUACCGAUGGCGAAGGCAGCCAUCUGGCCUAAUACUGACGCUGAGGUACGAAAGCAUGGGGAGCAAACAGGAUUAGAUACCCGAGUAGUCCCUGUCUCUUAUAC
RNAcentral lists this ribosomal RNA (301 nucleotides) under uncultured bacterium. RNAcentral describes it as "partial 16S ribosomal RNA". It matches the Rfam family "Bacterial small subunit ribosomal RNA", at positions 509 to 807 of the family's 1533-position model. The record is from RNAcentral.